GGAAGUACGUCAAGCGACAGUCAAUGAAUGUUUGUAGGUUAGUUUCAUUGUUUGGACGUUUUAAUCGCGAGUGGUGAUAUUCAAGUUUUAAAUAAUAAAGAAAAAAAGAAUAACGAGAAAAUGAGUAAUUCAACUAUUUCCGAUCAAUCCCUCAUGGAUAAGUCCAUGCGAAGUGUAUUCGUCGGGAACAUCCCGUACGAAGCUACGGAGGAAAAUUUAAAAGAUAUAUUCAGCGAAGUUGGGCCUGUACUUUCUUUCAAAUUGGUAUUUGAUCGUGAAACUGGGAAACCUAAAGGAUAUGGCUUCUGUGAAUACAAGGAUCAAGAGACUGCGCUUAGUGCUAUGAGAAAUUUAAAUGGGUAUGAAAUUGGCGGAAGAACACUUAGGGUAGACAAUGCAUGUACAGAAAAGAGUCGUAUGGAAAUGCAGAGUCUUUUGCAAGGACAAAAUACUGAAAAUCCAUAUGGAGAGGCCGUUCAAGCUGAUAAGGCUCCAGAGGCUAUAAGUAAAGCUGUUGCUUCCCUUCCACCGGAACAGAUGUUUGAGUUAAUGAAACAAAUGAAGCUAUGUGUGCAAAAUAAUCCUAAUGAGGCACGCCAAAUGUUAUUACAGAAUCCACAACUUGCUUAUGCCUUAUUACAAGCACAGGUAGUAAUGCGAAUAGUGGAUCCUCAUACUGCAGUUAAUAUGUUACAUAAAGCUAAUCCAAUCCCAGGAGUAUUAACACCUUCCGAUAAACCAGUUACUCAUCAGAUUCCUCCACGUAUUGAAGAACCAUGGGCACCACCAAGACCUACACCAGUUUCCAAUCCACCUGCACCAAUUUUUGCUGGUCAAGAUGUAGAUCUUAGAACAUUAGAUAGACAAAUGGAUCCUCGUUUAGCUAGAAUGGAUCAGGAUUUAAGAGGACCGCCCCAAACUCAAACAACCCCAGUUACCGCACCACCUAUUAUAUCCGCUACUACUGACCCGAGAGGGCCUACUGCUUUUAAUAUAACAGACAACAGUCUUCCUGUAGAAGGAGUGGAGAGCUUUUGUCGUGAUCCAAGAGCUGACAGAUUCGGUAGAGAUCCAAGGGAUCCACGAGAUCCCCGUAUGCCUAUUGACCCGAGAAUUACUAAAGCCAAUCCUCCUGUACCAGUAGCACCGCCAGUCGUACCAAGACCAGUAGCAGCACCUGCAGUUCCAGCACCGACUGCAGUUUCGACUAGUGUUGUAGGUCCUGCUACUGCUCUUUCAACAUCUGCAAGUUCGGCUACUUCUAGACUCAUGGCUGGUAUGUCUCCAGCGGGAAAUAUACCAAGUGGUGCAUCAGAUCAGGAAAAGAUGGCGAGCGAAGAGGAAGUAGUAGUAGUAGUAGUAGUAGUAGUAGUAGUAGUAGCAGCAGCAGUGGUGGUAGUGGUGGUGGUGGAGGUGGUAGUACUGGUGGAGGUGCUGCUGCUGGAGGUGUUAGCAAGAUAUCGAAGAGGGCUAAACCGGUGGAGUCGGAAGAGGACGAAGAGGAUUACUAUUACGAUGAGGAAACCGAACCAUUGGACGAACGGAACAAUCCUACGAACGAGGCACCUGCCGUUCCACCCGGAUUUCUCAGUCCUUCUGUACGAGAAUAUCUCGAUCUUGGUAAAUCGAUACCCGCACAUCCUGUAAUCUGACGGAGGCAAAACGAUGAAAAAUACUUGAGGAGAGAAUCUCGACGAUUACGAGAUAGGAGAGAUGGUUGGGCAAAAUUCCAGAAUGGGAGAGAAAGGGUCGGCCAGGAACGGAUUAUCCGGUGCUAGGAAAGGUGCCGUAUACGAAUUUCUAUUGCGACGAUCAACCCUAUCCAGGGUUUUUUGCCGACGUUGAGACCAGAUGCCAAGCUUGGCAUUAUUGCGACAUUGACG
Molecule: RNA transcript, 1883 nt
Organism: Vespa crabro (European hornet)
Lineage: Eukaryota; Metazoa; Arthropoda; Insecta; Hymenoptera; Vespidae
Gene: CstF64
Gene name: cleavage stimulation factor subunit 2
Exons: 10
Source: RefSeq, a predicted model, not a curated record